GGGGCCGUAGCCCAACCGGCAGAGGCACACGGUUUAGGUCCGUGCCAGUGUGGGUUCGACUCCCACCGGCCCCACCA
RNAcentral lists this transfer RNA (77 nucleotides) under Gandjariella thermophila. RNAcentral describes it as "tRNA-Leu". It matches the Rfam family "tRNA". Rfam says of the family: Transfer RNA (tRNA) molecules are approximately 80 nucleotides in length. Their secondary structure includes four short double-helical elements and three loops (D, anti-codon, and T loops). The record is from RNAcentral. Lineage: Bacteria; Bacillati; Actinomycetota; Actinomycetes; Pseudonocardiales; Pseudonocardiaceae.